RNAcentral lists this ribosomal RNA (453 nucleotides) under uncultured Porphyromonadaceae bacterium. Its description in RNAcentral is "partial 16S ribosomal RNA". It matches the Rfam family "Bacterial small subunit ribosomal RNA", at positions 341 to 792 of the family's 1533-position model. The record is from RNAcentral. Lineage: Bacteria; Pseudomonadati; Bacteroidota; Bacteroidia; Bacteroidales; Porphyromonadaceae.
ACGGAAGGCAGCAGUGAGGAAUAUUGGUCAAUGGGCGGAAGCCUGAACCAGCCAAGUCGCGUGAAGGAUGAAGGUAUUAUGUAUUGUAAACUUCUUUAGUCGUAGAGAAAUAAGGUGCUCGUGAGCACUGAUGCUAGUAUACGAAGAAUAAGGAUCGGCUAACUCCGUGCCAGCAGCCGCGGUAAUACGGAGGAUCCGAGCGUUAUCCGGAUUUAUUGGGUUUAAAGGGUGCGCAGGCGGCUUUUUAAGUCAGUGGUAAAAUCGUGGGGCUCAACCCCAUCCCGCCAUUGAUACUGGAGAGCUUGAUUGCGGUCGAGGUUGGCGGAAUUCGUCGUGUAGCGGUGAAAUGCAUAGAUAUGACGAAGAACACCGAUUGCGUAGGCAGCUGACCAGGCCGUAAAUGACGCUCAUGCACGAAAGUGCGGGGAUCGAACAGGAUUAGAUACCCUGGUA